Cucurbita maxima (winter squash) is the source of this 149-nucleotide long non-coding RNA. RefSeq lists it as uncharacterized. NCBI's taxonomy places the organism in Eukaryota, Viridiplantae, Streptophyta, Magnoliopsida, Cucurbitales, Cucurbitaceae. The record is from RefSeq and is a predicted model, not a curated record. The transcript is spliced from 3 exons.
GUUGUCGUUAGAGAGAGAGGGGUGCCUUCGGGAACGGGGACACAGGUGGUGCAUGGUUGUCGUCAGCUCGUGCCGUAAGGUGUUGGGUUAAGUCCCGCAACGAGCGCAACCCUCGUGUUUAGUUGCCAACCGUUGAGGUUGGAACCCUG